Molecule: transfer RNA, 95 nt
Filed under: Arthrobacter sp. NicSoilB8
Lineage: Bacteria; Bacillati; Actinomycetota; Actinomycetes; Micrococcales; Micrococcaceae
Description: tRNA-Arg
Source: RNAcentral
GUCGUCGGCGCAUCGGCGCCGGGAUGGGCCGGUUCCGAGCCGGGUUCGGGUGUCCCGACCGGCCGCGGCAGCGGUUCGACACUGAUCGGCUGUCC